GAUUUUUCAAAAUACCAAGAAACAUCAUGAAAGUCCCUCCAAAGUUAGAAGCAGCCACCAUAAUGAAUCGGCACAUUCUUGGUUCCUGAGUUAACACACAACACGAUGAGGAAUCUGUUCCCCUGGGGAGGAAGCACAGGGAGGACAGAGAUUGCAGCAUUAAGAUCAUGCUGUUGCUAUGGUAAGAGUGUGCAAGACUUCAGGAUUAUUAUUAUUUUUUUUACUUUUAACUUUUUUCUUUUCCCCUCCCUCCCCUUCUGUCUAUGAGCUGGUGAUACUGAGACGGGAAACCCAAGAUUGCAGUCCUCAUAAAGAAAGACAUCUGUUUUGGUUGUCAGCUUGAAGGAGGUCAGGAACAGGCUGUUGAAGAUGACUGUCACACAGUAGAUAAUAAAUCCACGGUGAAAUUAAUGAGUGGGUGUUUUUAAUGGUAAGCAUCUAAAUUGUCUAGAGAGACAGUCUGUUUUUUUCAGGAGACCUCGCUACUGCUGAGACCCGGCAGAAUCAUUGCAAGGAUGGGAGGAGCUGGCCAGAGGGGUCUGCAGGGAGCAUGAAGGGGCUGUGUGGAAUGAGGGAAAAGCCGAGGAGCGACAGGAGUCCCUUCAGAUGCCACGGAACCAAACAGCAGCACAAACUGCUUGAACGAAAAGUAUCUGAGCUGGCCGCUGGGAGAGAGAUCGCGUGAGGCAAGAAACUCCCUUAUGUAUGUGCUGGGAUUUCAAAACCCAGCAUGGAUGGUGCACUGGAGAGCAAAGCUGACUGGAGGUGACCCAGGAGAUGCCUUUAGUCUGAUCUGAGGAGGAAGGGAGCUGGAAAUCCGAUGUCCUUUGAAAGAGGAGCAUAACUCCCACUGGCCUUGUCCAUGGAGAUGGGGACACUGAGAUGACUGAGCACUGUUAUAACUCUGGGUGCUCCCCAUUUGAGUGUCCUGGCUGCUUGUUCCACCCUGUAGACAGUGACCUGGAGGGGUGCAGAGAAAUGGGAGAAGAGGAAGGACACCUUCUGAGGAGCAUCAUUUCAGAUCCAUGGGCUGUGCACCCAGUGUGUUUCUGAGGAGCUUCAUUCUCACCUACAGGUCAUAUUCAGGCACACAUAUCAUCCCUCCACUGCCCAGAGACCGUGCCAGAUGCCACCAGCUCCACCAAAGUGAAGGAGAGCCACUGGACUGCAGUGAACUUCCCCACAGCAGCAGUUGUCCUGGAGUAAGUCUUGCUGUGAGGAAAUAGUUCUGUCUGGGAGAAAGUCAUCUUUGAAGAAAAGACUGGAAUGAAGUAGCAGAAACUCAGCAUCUGCAGCGACAUUCCCUGCACGCCACGCGUAAGAAGGAAAGGUAUGGACUGAAAGCUGAUCCCUAACCUUUCAUCCAUCCAGUGAGCUUCCUACAUCUGGGGAAAGUUAUCCCAGAUUUGUGAAACAAAAGAAGUGCAAACAAGUCCCACCUUCCUGUCCUCUGCUUCCUCCCCAGCUGGAUUAAAAUUGUGCAUUCAGAAAGCACGCCGAAAUGGAUUCCAUUUAAUGAAUUCUGUUUGAAAGCUGGAGAGAGGUUUGCAGCCAGCAGAGGAGGGAAGCUCUGGAACAGCCUUCAGCAGGAGGAGUGGGUGGCAAGCAGCAGCCUGACUAGUUUUAUGAUGAAGCUUGAUCAGUUUACGAGUGGAAUUAUGUGGUGAGGUUGCCUGAGAUAGCAAGGGACUGGAUGAUACGACCUCUGAGAUCUCUUUCAAUCACGUGCUAUUCAACUGCACUGAAGUCAUGGGAUAUAAUAGACACAGUUAAUUUUUUUCAUGGACACUACUUUAGUUUAUGCCAGCUGAGAAUCUGCCCUAGUGUGGCCAAAGUCAAGGCAACCUUUAAUCCCUGUAAUGUGUGAUAGCACUUCAGUCCUCUCUGCCCACACCUGGCUUCCUGAUAAUACCAAUGAUGUCUUUAUUCUGCAAUGUCUUUUUCUAUUGUAGAGAUGUUAGCCAUGGCCUAUCUGAUGGCCACAUUCAAAUAUAUAUUUUUCCCUUUGUCUGGCAAUAAAAGAUACCUUGAAAGAGCAAGGAUGGUGGGGAGAAUGUCAUGUGGGGUCACGAGGCACCGGCGUUCCACAAAAGGGAGCAAAAUAACAAUGAGAAAAUACCACAAAACACUUUCCAGAAAUAACUGCCUAAUUAAUACAGCUUUUGUUUGCUCAGUAGCUGAACCCCCUUUUUCCUACGCUUGAGAAUGGCUACUGGGGAAUAUUAGAGGGAACUUGAUUUUGUUUCUAAGCUUUACCCCUAACAACCUGCUUUGAUAGAGAAAUGUGUAUGAAAUCAGGGACAGAUACACAGCGUGUGAACUCUGGGCUGUGUCAGAACUAACCAGCGCAACAUGAACAUGGGAUAUAGAGUACUAACAAUGUACUGCCUUUUUUUUUUUAUAUAUAUAUAUAUAUAUGUCACAGAGGGACAGUGUGCCCCCAAUCAAAGUGCUAGAUGGACUACAAACACAGAACAAAAAAGACAACCUGCAGAAGCUUACAAUUCAAGUAAGUUGCGGUACAGAAAAAUAAUCCCAGGAAAAAAAUAUUUGGCAAAUAAAUCCAAAGAAUUAAUGAUCUCGGUUGUAGGAGGAUAACUCACAAAAAGGCAAAAUGAGUCUAAUAAAUUAGAAAGAAGCAAAAUUAGCCUAAUAAACCUUCGGCUAGAAGUUAAUCCUUGCAGUGCACGGGUACAAUGUAACUUCCCUCUGGGUGACCCCAAGCGUGGAGAGGGGCAGAGUGUGGAUGAACCAUUAUGGACGUGUCAGAGUUGGGGAAGAAAGUGGGAGCCAAGUGUUUGUUUUGCUCCUUUCCUGUUGCUCAUGAGAUAACAGAUGCCUCAGUGUGUACCCAGUCCAUUCCUGAUAGGAGACUGACACUGGGGUUGUAGAUCUAACUGUUUAGCUUUGUAAGACUUCCAGUUUUGUAGGGCUUUUUUCCCAGUUUCUGCGGUCAGCCAAAAUGGCAUCUGUUCUGCUGUUGUUUCUCUAGAGGUCUUCAGAGAUCUGCUGUGCAUGCACUGUUAGUGUAAACCAGCAGUGCUGGACUCAUCCCUCUGCAUUUGAGGGUACCAAAAGCAGGAUCUAGUUUUAUAACCCCAUAAAAUAAAUUUGCCCAAGCUGCACAGGAAAGCAAGCCCAGUUGCACAUUUUUUUAAAUUAAUUGAUCCUAUGGGCAACAGCUCAAGGUACAAAAGUUCAUGGUUUCUCUUACCACCCCCAAGAGGCACCUCUCUUUUCCAUGUUUGACAUGGGAAUGGCAUCGAGAUGUCCCUCCAUCUGCCCCUGUGAAGGGGCAGGUUGGAAGAGGGAACAUGCCAGGUCAGGACUCUUUGGUCCCAAAAUACAGCCAUGGAGUAGGGAAGGAUGUCCCCAGACAAAUAUCUUGCUCUUGCCAGCACAUACAGAAGUAUGUUUUCUGUGCAUCCCUGCUGCUAGUGAGGAAAGACUUGAAGUGAUGUCUAAAACUCCACUUUUAAGAAACCUCAGCAGCUGCCCAAGGACACCAGUUUGCUUAAUUGCUGUAUCAGUACAUUCAAAGAUACUCACUAUCUCACUAUCGGCCCCAGCGAAACGUGUAUUAUCCAUUUGUCCUUGAAACCAGCCAUCCCCUCGCUAAGUGAUUAAAGUAGUCUUGUGCCGGAUGAACCGUGCACAUCUCUUUUUUUUUCUUUCUUCUCCCCCCAAAAGAUAUCAUCCCCCCUGCCUUCCUGCUAGUCAUGACAGAGCUCCUUCCUUGCAAUUUAUUAUGUUUGCACUCAUUUGUUUUUCUUCAGACGCUGCAUCCAGUGACCUCUGGCAAAGAAAUGGGAAUAGCACACACUCUUAUCCUGGCACAAGGCAGGAGCAGUGACAAAUUGGUUUACUUUUCUGCUUGAUGCUGGGGGUUGUGAGUAGGGAAAGGGGGGUUUAUUAGCCUGGACUUACUUAUGUGUCUGAAAUAUGCUUUGUAAUCACUCCUCUCUGAUGUUACUUAAAUAUGUAGUUGGGCUUGUCUGUUACUGUCCGGGAAUGCAGAAAGUUUUGCCUGAAUAGAUGGAAACUUCUGGUGGGAAAUAAAC
Calidris pugnax (ruff) is the source of this 4061-nucleotide long non-coding RNA. RefSeq lists it as uncharacterized. The transcript is spliced from 6 exons. The record is from RefSeq and is a predicted model, not a curated record. NCBI's taxonomy places the organism in Eukaryota, Metazoa, Chordata, Aves, Charadriiformes, Scolopacidae.